RNAcentral lists this long non-coding RNA (813 nucleotides) under Lathyrus oleraceus (garden pea). RNAcentral's name for it is "Pisum sativum (pea) long non-coding RNA (PSAT_LNC013040)". The record is from RNAcentral. Lineage: Eukaryota; Viridiplantae; Streptophyta; Magnoliopsida; Fabales; Fabaceae.
GAUUUUAAAAUAAAGUGUUUUAUUUAUAUUUUUUCAUGGAGUAUUACAUCAAUAAUAAUAAUAUUACAUAGUAAUAGUACAUAAAAAUUUAAAAAAUAAGAGAUUUUUUUUUCUGUUGCAGCAUCACACGCCCUCAUGCUUUUGCAAUGCAUUCAUCCUCUUCAUCCAUGUUCAUUAUCAUCACAUCAACAAGCACAUGAAAAAACAAUAAGAAAAAUCAGCAAGCAAAAUUAAUCAUAAUACAUACAUCCAUACAUGAAAAUUUUGGGACCAUAGAAAAUCACUUAAAACUCAUGCACAUUUCACAGUAAUCCAAAUUCAAUUUUCAUCUGCAUUUCAUUUAAAUUUAAACAAAAUCAAAUCCAAAUUCACAAACAAAAUCAUCCCAACCAUUGAUCAUAGAGAGCACACGGAUUCUUUCACAAACUUCCCCCUAAUUUCAUUUUCACUCACCAAUUUUCCCCUCUCAAAUCUCACUAACACCCCUAUAUAACAAUAUAGUUUUCACACUAAAUUCAUCAAAAGAAAAAUCCUAACUACACUCUACUAAAAUCACUCAUCAAUCCCACACCUAAAGUUCAUUAAUUUUUUUCUCAAACUUCAUAUUGAAACUUGAGUAAGUUUGAACUUAACAACCAAUACGUACUAGGAAACGAGAGAAGCAGAGAAGAAGGAUAGUGAUUGAAGAAAAGAGCAUAGAGAAGAUUCUGAGAUACCUGAUUUAAAGCUUUCAAUCAUAGCUCCCUUUGGUUCCUUUACUUUUGUUGUUUUAAUUUUAGUGCUCUUUUCCACUUGGGCCAAGCAUAAGGCCCG